AGCAAGGAGGUCAAAAAGCAGUACCUUUUCUUCCCUCCCUUCUUAGUCUCGUGUUCUUGUAACAAACUAUUCUGGGUCUAGACUUGAAUUAUGCUGGGGAAGGAAUUUGUGUUCCAUAAGUUGUCUGUUUCUCUGCUUUUGUAAUUUACUUUUUUGGCGUUCCCCCCAGUUUCCUAGCAAAGUGCUUUUUGAACAAUCUCAGCCUUGUCUGGAUGCCUGAGAUUUGCCCACAUUUGGGCCAAGACAGCCAAGGGGUUCCAGGGCCCCAGGAAAUUUAGUAUGGUGGGGCCAGCAGCUGUCUCAGCUGGAUUUGCAGGAAACAGCUGGUGGAGCCAGGGCAGAGAGAGGUGAAAUCUCAAGAGAGGAAGAGAUUGAGAAAGAGAGAGAGAUGGGAGCAGCUGCAGUUGCUAAGCUCUUCCCCGCCUGGGUUCUUCCAUUUCAGAGGCCUGCCACCAGCUCCAGCUCUCCCCACCCUGGCUUUUCUCAAUAAGAAAUAAACAAGUUAAAGUAGUGAUGCCCCAGGGACUAGAAACAGUGAGCAUGGACAGUAUCUGAUGAGGAAUCAGAUGCAGGACUCUUACCUUAGAGCCUGGGUUGCUCACCUGGAAAGCUUAACCGCACCUGGGUUGUGAUUCAGUUGGAGGGGGAUUAUGCCCCAGACAUUAGACCAUGACUAUCUGGGGAUAAGGUCCAAUCAGGGAACAUGGCAUUCAACUGAAAUAGCAGGGAAUUGGAGGCAUUUGGGCUUCUCUUGUUAGUUUAGUAAACUGAGACUCUCUCAAAGAUUUCUGCAUGGCUCUGGCCUGAGCCUGAUAGGAGGCCCUCCUCCACCCGCUGCCUCCCUUACUCGAAAACAAGCCGCAUUUGGGAGCCUGGAAUCUCAGCAAGUAGAACAAUCGUUUGUGACUGCUACAUCCAUCACAGGCUGAGGUCCUGCAGCAGCCCAGACCGGAGGAGCCGCCACGGGCCCCGCUGCCUUCACCACAGCCUGCACUUUAUUAGAAUUUAUACGUUGCCCCCAUUGAGGGGGAAAAUAAUUAACACCCCUACAAAUAUAUCGUAAAC
RNAcentral lists this long non-coding RNA (1065 nucleotides) under Callithrix jacchus (white-tufted-ear marmoset). Its description in RNAcentral is "lncRNA (ENSCJAG00000085782.1)". Lineage: Eukaryota; Metazoa; Chordata; Mammalia; Primates; Cebidae. The record is from RNAcentral.